CUACGGGAUGCUGCAGUGAGGAAUUUUGCGCAAUGGGGGAAACCCUGACGCAGCAACGCCGCGUGAGUGAAGAAGGCCCUUGGGUCGUAAAGCUCUGUCAAUGGGGAAGAAGUUAUUAUGUAUUAAUAGUGCAUUUUAUUGACGGUACCCAUGAAGGAAGCACCGGCUAACUCCGUGCCAGCAGCCGCGGUAAUACGGGGGGUGCAAGCGUUAUUCGGAAUUAUUGGGCGUAAAGGGCACGCAGGCGGUCCUGUCAGUCAGAUGUGAAAGCCCGGGGCUCAACCCCGGACGUGCAUUUGAAAUAGCAGGACUUGAGUACGGGAGAGGAAAGGGGAAUUCCUGGUGUAGAGGUGAAAUUCGUAGAUAUCAGGAGGAACACCGGUGGCGAAGGCGCCUUUCUGGACCGAUACUGACGCUGAGGUGCGAAGGCGUGGGUAGCGAACGGGAUUAGAUACCCCCGUAGUC
This 465-nucleotide ribosomal RNA is filed under the name uncultured bacterium. RNAcentral describes it as "partial 16S ribosomal RNA". It matches the Rfam family "Bacterial small subunit ribosomal RNA", at positions 339 to 795 of the family's 1533-position model. The record is from RNAcentral.